CUACAGUGUAACCAAGAGCAUCGGCAAUAUCCUGUAAUGUUUGGGGGUCUAUGGGACUCUAGUUGCCCAUAACUCCAAAGAUUUUCAGAGUUUGGGGACAGUCAAAUGAAGCAUGUCAGAAACCGGGAACCCAGAAGUAAACAGAGGCAAACUCAAAAAUAUGCUCCAAAUGUGCACCUGAUGGCCACAUUUAAGGGAAAUCUCCUCAAAAUGUAAAAAGAUACACUGGCUAGAAUGGUUUACAUAGAAGCCCUUCAAGCAAGUCAGAGAGCAGAGAAAGACUGGGAAGACGUCGGUUCACCACGAGUUAGCUGAGUGCAUCCCACACGGGAUAAACUGAAGCAGAAUCUGCAAUGAGAUCAUUAGUGUGUGCCAUCCUGGUCCUGUAGUCAGACUGCACGCAUAUUUAAUACAUUGAGCCCACCUUGAAAUGUCCCUCAGACCCAAGAGAACAAAGUACAAGGAAAAAUCAGGAGGAGGGGAAGACGCCAAGUGAUCCAUACGGCUGUCAAUGUCACCCUCUGCGCUGAUCAGAAGAAGGAAGGUAACAGAGAAAGCUCUGCAGUGCUGGUUCAGCGGCCUGCCACCCAACUCUGUGACAAGUCGACCAGGAGGAGAUGGCCAUAUCAUUACGGACUGUAUC
Myodes glareolus (Bank vole) is the source of this 643-nucleotide long non-coding RNA. RefSeq lists it as uncharacterized. NCBI's taxonomy places the organism in Eukaryota, Metazoa, Chordata, Mammalia, Rodentia, Cricetidae. The record is from RefSeq and is a predicted model, not a curated record.